AGGGACAAGCGGCCCCGAUCCCCCCCCUUCCCCCUACCCCUCAGAAGCAUUUUCCCUGCACAGCAAUGAGGAGUGGGAGACGGCCCAGGAGGAGGAUACGACCGACCAGGCAUGCAGUGACCAGCUGCGGUCGUCAAGGGACCAAAGACAGAAGCAAAAGAAAAAGAAAAGGCCUAGACAGGCAAGAAGCCAGCCAGAGGAUCAGUCGGAGGAGGAAGCCUCUGGUGAAGACGCAGGACAGAAGUAGCCGCGUGGACCCAGAUACACUGAGGCGUAAAACUGUGCCCUAGUGGAUGGCGUCGACAAGUCCUACGACGUUCUGUAUGGACCAAGGGCACAGACCACAGCAGCUAAGACCAAGCGAAACAUCUGGGAUGCCAUCGCGAGACAAGUCACUGCAGUAUCUGUAAACCGCCGGAGCACCAGAAACUGCAUGAAGCGGUACAGUGAUUGCCGCAGACAGACCAAGAAGAAGAUGGGGAUUCAGCGCCGACAUGAGACAGCUACGGGAGGUGGUCCGGCUCUCAAUCUGAAGUGGCUACUCUGGGAGAACGUUAUUAAAAGGUGCAUGAACCCUGUCAUCGUCCAAGGAGUUCGCGGAGGUGUGGACUCUAGCCGUCCUGCUGGCUUUCCCGAGGAGGAAGAACCGCCCAGAAGACGGAAGACGGCGGGAGACAAGCAGUCCAAAAGGAGGCCUGAUGACACGCCUGCCCAGAGGACAUCACCAGCGCGCGGACCAUCACCUGCGCAGCAGGCAUCGGCAGCAGCGCGCGGACCAUCACAUGCGCAGCAAGCAUCAGCAGCGCUCAGAUCAUCACCUGCGCGCCACACAUCGUCGGCGCGCAGGUGACUUUGACAUCCUUCACGUUCUGGCCACAUCCAUCAACCGGCUGGUGGAUAACACAUCAUGCCUGGUACACAGCGUUGACAACAUGUCGGCCAGCCAUGGACAUUCCGCAUCCAGCCAACAGAUCAUCGCAACAACGCUACAGAUGAUCUAUGAUAAGCUCCCAGAGCCAGCUCAACAACACGCUGGUGAACCACCACAUCCACCACCACAAGCCACACUGACGCCUCCUGCCCUUGCUACACCACGAUCCUGGUAUGGACGGUCACAGCUGUACCAAGGAUAUACAGGGAUGUACCACCCCUACCAGAUGCCUCCACCACCGGCCGCCACGUCUACACCAGCAUGGCCACCGAGGCCAAUUCAACACACCCCACAGCCGCCCAGGGCAUCGACGCCAAAUUAAAAGAGGAAGAAGAGGAUCCGGAUGGCCAACAACCACCAUAAGCCCGGUCGUAUUGUUUUAUUAUUUACUCAUGUUUUUCAUGUUUCCCUUUCUCCUCCUCCCAUUAGUUUGUUUUUUUUCUUAAUAUUGUCUUAUAUGUCUGUUGGGCUCCCCCACCCCCGACCGAAUACUACCAAGGAGCUUUAUGUCUAGGCAUACAUGCACGGGCAUGUAUGCGGGCGCGUGUGGUAACUGAUGAAAGCUCCUUGUGGUUACAUGUAUGAUGGGCCAAAGAGCUAUUCUGAUACCACUUUUUAAAAAACAACAACUCCUUUUUGUAUUGGUGUAAAAUAGGCUUUCACUGUUGUGUGAAUUUACUAUUCACUAGUGUUUAUUUUUGGCUUCUUCAUAGGAUUGGGUGGAAAAUUGAAGUGGACGGCGUAGUUCGUGUUGUGCAU
Long non-coding RNA from Pseudophryne corroboree (corroboree frog), 1690 nucleotides. RefSeq lists it as uncharacterized. The record is from RefSeq and is a predicted model, not a curated record. NCBI's taxonomy places the organism in Eukaryota, Metazoa, Chordata, Amphibia, Anura, Myobatrachidae. The transcript has 3 exons.